Corchorus olitorius is the source of this 71-nucleotide non-coding RNA. NCBI's taxonomy places the organism in Eukaryota, Viridiplantae, Streptophyta, Magnoliopsida, Malvales, Malvaceae. The record is from Rfam.
GCGAGUAUAGUUCAGCGGUAGAAUAAGACCUUGCCAAGGUUUAGACACGGGUUCGAUCCCCGUUACUCGCU